ACGUAGGUGGCAAGCGUUGUUCGGAAUCACUGGGCAUAAAGCGCACGUAGGCGGCUGAGUAAGUCGGAUGUGAAAUACCUCGGCUCAACCGAGGAACUGCGUCCGAUACUGCUCGGCUUGAGGUCCGGAGGGGAGAGUGGAAUUCCCGGUGGAGCGGUGAAAUGCGUAGAGAUCGGGAAGAACGCCGGCGGCGAAAGCGACUCUCUGGUCGGAAUCUGACGCUGAGGUGCGAAAGCUAGGGGAGCAAACGGGAUUAGAUACCCCGGUAGUCCUAGCCAUAAACGAUGGGCGCUAGGUAGUGGUCGUUCCUAUGCGAUCACUGCUGGAGCAAAUGUCUUAAGCGCCCCGCCUGGGAAGUACGGUCGCAAGACUA
Molecule: ribosomal RNA, 373 nt
Filed under: uncultured bacterium
Lineage: Bacteria
Description: bacterial SSU rRNA
Rfam family: Bacterial small subunit ribosomal RNA
Source: RNAcentral